GAGAGAGAGAGAGAGAGAAAAGGGAGAGGUUGAUGAGAAAGAGGAGAGUAAUGAAUGGGUUUUUGUAGGAAAGGGUAGAGGGAGGAUACGCUCCUUUAUAGUGACCCUCAACCUACCAUUAAUAUUUCCACUGACAAAAACUUGCUAACAGAGAGAGUUGAGAAAAUGGGCUAAAUAAAUAGUGAAAUAUGAAACCAUUGGGUUAUGCAAGUUAAUGAUCUAGUCUUUGU
RNAcentral lists this unclassified non-coding RNA (230 nucleotides) under Hevea brasiliensis (rubber tree). The record is from RNAcentral. Lineage: Eukaryota; Viridiplantae; Streptophyta; Magnoliopsida; Malpighiales; Euphorbiaceae.